RNAcentral lists this ribosomal RNA (382 nucleotides) under Aeoniacalles argillosus. RNAcentral describes it as "eukaryotic LSU rRNA". It matches the Rfam family "Eukaryotic large subunit ribosomal RNA", at positions 1340 to 1663 of the family's 3401-position model. The record is from RNAcentral. Lineage: Eukaryota; Metazoa; Arthropoda; Insecta; Coleoptera; Curculionidae.
GCUUAUACUCGACCGUCAGCGGCACGUGCGAUCGCCCGCGAGGGCGGUCACGAAGCCCUGACGAGUAGGAGGGUCGCGGCGGUGAGCGCAGAAGGGCUGGCCGCGAGGCCGUCUGGAGCCGCCGUCGGUGCAGAUCUUGGUGGUAGUAGCAAAUACUCCAGCGAGGCCCUGGAGGACUGACGUGGAGAAGGGUUUCGUGUGAACAGCCGUUGCACACGAGUCAGUCGAUCCUAAGCCCUAGGCGAAAGCCGAUGUCGAUGCGGUGUAGUUUUUACCGAACGUACAUAUAGAUACGUAUGCAGAGCGAGAACACACCCGUCGGGCGAAAGGGAAUCCGGUUCCUAUUCCGGAACCUGGCAGCGGAACCGUCAAUAAGUCGGGC